ACAUCUAUUUUAAAUAUUAAACAGUGUUUCAAAGAGUGCAUAUUUUUUAAACGCUAUGGAAGCAUUAAGUAACAGUGAAAUCGUGAAUUCAAGCCAAGGGGCAGAAAUGUGCUUGAACGCACGCGGAGCAUUUUACGCACACUGUAUCGAAAACGAAAAUUUAUACUUUGUGGUUAAGACGAUCACGGAAACCAGAAAGAUUGCAGUAUUCUGACCUAUCUGUAUAAAAGUCUCGAGAAGGAAAUAGAUAUUUUGGACAGUAAUGUUCUGGAUAUUUUGCCAAAAUACAUAGGACACAGAUACUCACUUUGUGGAGAAGUUGAUAAAGUGGAUGAAGAUUCACGGCUGUUAAUAGAGAAUAUUAAGUAUCAAGGUUAUUAUGUGGCAGACAGACGAAAGGGUUUCGAUUUGCAACAUUCCAAGCUUGCUUUGUUGAGCAUAGCAAAAUUGCACGCAUUAGGUAUAGCCUUAAAGAUAAAGCGUCCUGAAGAUUUUGAGAAAGUCAAACCUAUAGCAUCAGUAACGGGAUAUGAUUUAAAUUGCGUCUACGACGUUAUUCUAAAGAUCAUUCAGGAAAACGCAUACUUUUCCAAAUAUCUAUCCAAGAUUGAAGAUGUUAAUAGAAUUACCGAGAUAUGCUUUGUAUAUUAGGUUUCAAUGUCACGAACUGACAGAAAAGCAGAAGAAAAAUAAAAAGUAAUGGGAAGUCUUCUGGAAAGCGCACCUAGUGAGAUAUACAUAAAAAAUUGAUGAGAAUUAUUGAUAAAUGUGAGAAAAAAGGAUGGUUAUAAAAAGAUCAUGAUUAUGAUUCAAUCGGAUAUCGCUGAAAGUUUGAAUGCAAUUGUGAAAUUAUGAUCAUACUUAAUUUCCAUCGAUAUACUACUGCGUCGAAUUGGUAUAUUUUCUCACGUGAGUGUGUGCGACACAAACAGAGUAACGGAUCAGCAUAUAACUUAACUUUAAAUUAAUGCGACCUUAACGACCAUAAAAUCUAAAACUUUUGGCUCCAAGCAUAUUGCAAAACGCCCUACUAUUAUAUGCCGUAUAGUUAGCAUUUCGUAUCAACUUACUACAGGCAAUGUAAGCGGUACCUCUGUAUGUAAGAUACCACUGUGAGUUAAUUUUCACCACGUGUCCUUGUUGAGAACACAAAUUUAAAAAUCCAUAUUUAUUGAUUAUUUCGCUGUAUUUAUAACAACGUUUGAAGUACUGCAUAUAGCAUAGAAAACUGCGCUUA
Long non-coding RNA from Nasonia vitripennis (jewel wasp), 1237 nucleotides. RefSeq lists it as uncharacterized. The transcript has 4 exons. Lineage: Eukaryota; Metazoa; Arthropoda; Insecta; Hymenoptera; Pteromalidae. The record is from RefSeq and is a predicted model, not a curated record.